RNAcentral lists this ribosomal RNA (486 nucleotides) under uncultured bacterium. RNAcentral describes it as "partial 16S ribosomal RNA". It matches the Rfam family "Bacterial small subunit ribosomal RNA", at positions 30 to 507 of the family's 1533-position model. The record is from RNAcentral.
AUUGAACGCUGGCGGCAUGCCUUACACAUGCAAGUCGAACGGCAGCACGGGUGCUUGCACCUGGUGGCGAGUGGCGAACGGGUGAGUAAUACAUCGGAACAUGUCCUGUAGUGGGGGAUAGCCCGGCGAAAGCCGGAUUAAUACCGCAUACGAUCUACGGAUGAAAGCGGGGGACCUUCGGGCCUCGCGCUAUAGGGUUGGCCGAUGGCUGAUUAGCUAGUUGGUGGGGUAAAGGCCUACCAAGGCGACGAUCAGUAGCUGGUCUGAGAGGACGACCAGCCACACGGGGACUGAGACACGGCCCAGACUCCUACGGGAGGCAGCAGUGGGGAAUUUUGGACAAUGGGCGAAAGCCUGAUCCAGCAAUGCCGCGUGUGUGAAGAGGGCCUUCGGGUUGUAAAGCACUUUUGUCCGGAAAGAAAUCCUUGGCCCUAAUACGGUCGGGGGAUGACGGUACCGGAAGAAUAAGCACCGGCUAACUACGUG